GGAAGUAAAAGUCGUAACAAGGUUUCCGUAGGUGAACCUGCGGAAGGAUCAUUACUGUGGGCUGUUCUUCGGAAAGCCCGCGAGAUAGCACCCUCUGCUUUUUUGAGUACCUCUUGUUUCCUCGGCGGGCUUGCCCGCCAACGGGGACCUCAAUUCAACCUUUUGCAGUAGUAUGAAAACGUCUGAUAACAAUCUAAAUCGUUACAACUUUCAACAAUGGAUCUCUUGGUUCUGGCAUCGAUGAAGAACGCAGCGAAAUGCGAUAAGUAGUGUGAAUUGCAGAAUUCAGUGAAUCAUCGAAUCUUUGAACGCACAUUGCGCCCCUUGGUAUUCCAUGGGGCAUGCCUGUUCGAGCGUCAUUUGAACCCUCAAGCUCUGCUUGGUGUUGGGUGUUUGUCCCGCCAGAGUGCGUGGACUCGCCUUAAAGUCAUUGGCAGCCGGCCGCCUCAGCUCGGAGCGCAGCAGAUUCAGCGCAUCGAAGUCGGGAGCGGUGGCAUCCAGAAGCUCUUAUUUUCUACGUUUGACCUCGGAUCAGGUAGGGAUACCCGCUGAACUUAAGCAUAUCAAUAAGCGGAGGA
This 578-nucleotide ribosomal RNA is filed under the name Medicopsis romeroi. RNAcentral's name for it is "eukaryotic LSU rRNA". The stretch from base 206 to 359 matches the Rfam family "5.8S ribosomal RNA". The record is from RNAcentral. Lineage: Eukaryota; Fungi; Ascomycota; Dothideomycetes; Pleosporales; Neohendersoniaceae.